UUUAAUUGAAGAGUUUGAUCAUGGCUCAGAUUGAACGCUGGCGGCAGGCCUAACACAUGCAAGUCGGGCGGUAACAGGAGAAAGCUUGCUUUCUUGCUGACGAGCGGCGGACGGG
Molecule: ribosomal RNA, 115 nt
Filed under: Shigella sp. FC1967
Lineage: Bacteria; Pseudomonadati; Pseudomonadota; Gammaproteobacteria; Enterobacterales; Enterobacteriaceae
Description: partial 16S ribosomal RNA
Rfam family: Bacterial small subunit ribosomal RNA
Source: RNAcentral